GAUGGACGCUGGCGGCGUGCCUAAUACAUGCAAGUCGAGCGAACAGAUAAGGAGCUUGCUCCUUUGACGUUAGCGGCGGACGGGUGAGUAACACGUGGGUAACCUACCUAUAAGACUGGGAUAACUUCGGGAAACCGGAGCUAAUACCGGAUAACAUUUGGAACCGCAUGGUUCUAAAGUGAAAGAUGGUUUUGCUAUCACUUAUAGAUGGACCCGCGCCGUAUUAGCUAGUUGGUAAGGUAACGGCUUACCAAGGCGACGAUACGUAGCCGACCUGAGAGGGUGAUCGGCCACACUGGAACUGAGACACGGUCCAGACUCCUACGGGAGGCAGCAGUAGGGAAUCUUCCGCAAUGGGCGAAAGCCUGACGGAGCAACGCCGCGUGAGUGAUGAAGGGUUUCGGCUCGUAAAACUCUGUUAUUAGGGAAGAACAAACGUGUAAGUAACUGUGCACGUCUUGACGGUACCUAAUCAGAAAGCCACGGCUAACUACGUG
Molecule: ribosomal RNA, 497 nt
Filed under: uncultured bacterium
Lineage: Bacteria
Description: partial 16S ribosomal RNA
Rfam family: Bacterial small subunit ribosomal RNA
Source: RNAcentral